RNAcentral lists this transfer RNA (84 nucleotides) under Actinomycetes bacterium. RNAcentral's name for it is "Actinobacteria bacterium tRNA-Leu". It matches the Rfam family "tRNA". From Rfam's summary of the family: Transfer RNA (tRNA) molecules are approximately 80 nucleotides in length. The record is from RNAcentral. Lineage: Bacteria; Bacillati; Actinomycetota; Actinomycetes.
GGGCGAGUGGCGAAAUUGGCAGACGCGCAGGAUUCAGGUUCCUGUGGGGGCAACCCCGUGGAGGUUCAAGUCCUCUCUCGCCCA